GACGAACGCUGGCGGCGUGCCUAAUACAUGCAAGUAGAACGCUGAAGAGAGGAGCUUACUCUUCUUGGAUGAGUUGCGAACGGGUGAGUAACGCGUAGGUAACCUGCCUUGUAGCGGGGGAUAACUAUUGGAAACGAUAGCUAGUACCGCAUAACAAUGGAUGACACAUGUCAUUUAUUUGAAAGGGGCAAUUGCUCCACUACAAGAUGGACCUGCGUUGUAUUAGCUAGUAGGUGAGGUAAUGGCUCACCUAGGCGACGAUACAUAGCCGACCUGAGAGGGUGAUCGGCCACACUGGGACUGAGACACGGCCCAGACUCCUACGGGAGGCAGCAGUAGGGAAUCUUCGGCAAUGGGGGCAACCCUGACCGAGCAACGCCGCGUGAGUGAAGAAGGUUUUCGGAUCGUAAAGCUCUGUUGUAAGUCAAGAACGGGUGUGAGAGUGGAAAGUUCACACUGUGACGGUAGCUUACAGAAAGGGACGGCUAACUACGUG
This 496-nucleotide ribosomal RNA is filed under the name uncultured bacterium. RNAcentral's name for it is "partial 16S ribosomal RNA". It matches the Rfam family "Bacterial small subunit ribosomal RNA", at positions 28 to 507 of the family's 1533-position model. The record is from RNAcentral.